Molecule: ribosomal RNA, 278 nt
Filed under: uncultured bacterium
Lineage: Bacteria
Description: partial 16S ribosomal RNA
Rfam family: Bacterial small subunit ribosomal RNA
Source: RNAcentral
AACGAACGCUGGCGGCAGGCCUAACACAUGCAAGUCGAACGUUCCCUUCGGGGAAAGUGGCGCACGGGUGCGUAACGCGUGGGAAUAUACCCUUAGGUGCGGAAUAAUGUCUGGAAACGGACACUAAUACCGCAUAAUGACUUCGGUCCAAAGAUUUAUCGCCUAGGGAUUAGCCCGCGUCUGAUUAGUUUGUUGGUGAGGUAACGGCUCACCAAGACGAUGAUCAGUAGCUGGUCUGAGAGGAUGAUCAGCCACACUGGGACUGAGACACGGCCCAG